RNAcentral lists this ribosomal RNA (552 nucleotides) under Tremella mesenterica. RNAcentral describes it as "LSU rRNA". It matches the Rfam family "Eukaryotic large subunit ribosomal RNA", at positions 81 to 609 of the family's 3401-position model. The record is from RNAcentral. Lineage: Eukaryota; Fungi; Basidiomycota; Tremellomycetes; Tremellales; Tremellaceae.
UAGUAACGGCGAGCGAACCGGGAAGAGCUCAAAUUUGAAAUCUGGCGUCCCACGGGCGUCCGAGUUGUAAUCUGCAGAGGCGUCUUCCGCCCCGGACCGCGUCCAAGUCCCUUGGAACAGGGUAUCAAAGAGGGUGACAAUCCCGUGCUUGACGSGACCCCCGGUGCUAUGUGAUGCGACCUCAAAGAGUCGAGUUGUUUGGGAAUGCAGCUCAAAACGGGUGGUAAAUUCCAUCUAAGGCUAAAUAUUGGCGAGAGACCGAUAGCGAACAAGUACCGUGAGGGAAAGAUGAAAAGCACUUUGGAAAGAGAGUUAAACAGUACGUGAAAUUGUUGGAAGGGAAACGAUUGAAGUCAGUCGUGUCCGAGGGGUUCAGCCGGUCCUGCCGGUGCACUCCCCUCGGRCGGGUCAACAUCGGUUCUGUCCGGCGGACAAGGGCAGGGGGAACGUGGCACCCUCGUGGUGUGUUAUAGCCCCCCGUCGCAUACGUCGGUCGGGACCGAGGAUCGCAGCUCGCCCUCACGGGCCGGGGUUGGCCCACGUCCGAGCUUA